AAGCAACGCCGGGCCAAAUGGCAGGCCCAAGUGUCACUCUGAUUUCUGCCGCUGUGUGCCGCUGCUGCUGUGGGGGAGGGGCUAGACUGUUUGCUGGGCAGGGGUAAGGAUUUGAGAUAUUCAAGGUGACGUCGGGAUUCAGCUUGGUUGCGCCGAACGUAAUAGAUAACUUGAGGACUGACACAUCUUUUCUCGGGACGGUCCCACUGGCGGCGGCGGUGGCAAGAAGGCAUGCACACGCUGGCAGACUGGCACAGAAUCCAGCUUUCCUUUCCUUUUUCUAAGAAAAAUAAAGUUUCU
Long non-coding RNA from Hemicordylus capensis (graceful crag lizard), 300 nucleotides. RefSeq lists it as uncharacterized. NCBI's taxonomy places the organism in Eukaryota, Metazoa, Chordata, Lepidosauria, Squamata, Cordylidae. The record is from RefSeq and is a predicted model, not a curated record. The transcript is spliced from 3 exons.